UACGGAGGGUCCAAGCGUUAUCCGGAAUCACUGGGUUUAAAGGGUGCGUAGGUGGGUUGGUAAGUCAGUGGUGAAAUCUCCGUGCUUAACAUGGAAACUGCCAUUGAUACUACUGGUCUUGAAUUUUCUGGAGGUAAGCGGAAUAUGUCAUGUAGCGGUGAAAUGCUUAGAUAUGACAUAGAACACCAAUUGCGAAGGCAGCUUACUACAGGGACAUUGACACUGAGGCACGAAAGCGUGGGGAUCAAACAGG
RNAcentral lists this ribosomal RNA (253 nucleotides) under uncultured bacterium. RNAcentral's name for it is "partial 16S ribosomal RNA". It matches the Rfam family "Bacterial small subunit ribosomal RNA", at positions 524 to 776 of the family's 1533-position model. The record is from RNAcentral.